AGUGAACGCUGGCGGUAGGCCUAACACAUGCAAGUCGAACGGCAGCACAGUAAGAGCUUGCUCUUACGGGUGGCGAGUGGCGGACGGGUGAGGAAUACAUCGGAAUCUACUUUUUCGUGGGGGAUAACGUAGGGAAGCUUACGCUAAUACCGCAUACGACCUACGGGUGAAAGCAGGGGAUCUUCGGACCUUGCGCGAUUGAAUGAGCCGAUGUCGGAUUAGCUAGUUGGCGGGGUAAAGGCCCACCAAGGCGACGAUCCGUAGCUGGUCUGAGAGGAUGAUCAGCCACACUGGAACUGAGACACGGUCCAGACUCCUACGGGAGGCAGCAGUGGGGAAUAUUGGACAAUGGGCGCAAGUCUGAUCCAGCCAUACCGCGUGGGUGAAGAAGGCCUUCGGGUUGUAAAGCCCUUUUGUUGGGAAAGAAAAGCAGCAGGUUAAUACCCCGCUGUUCUGACGGUACCCAAAGAAUAAGCACCGGCUAACUUCGUG
This 492-nucleotide ribosomal RNA is filed under the name uncultured bacterium. Its description in RNAcentral is "partial 16S ribosomal RNA". It matches the Rfam family "Bacterial small subunit ribosomal RNA", at positions 29 to 507 of the family's 1533-position model. The record is from RNAcentral.